UUGAUCAUCAUAUCUCUACAAGCAUAAAUCCCGUGUUUGAUAACUAUUUUUUGUCAGUAGAAAAUUAAUGAUUUGUGUUUUUCGGAGUCCGGUGCAUUUCUGACACGUAGUUAUCCGUUACCAAAUAUUCGUCGAGAAAGGUAAAGAAAGACUGCUCUAAAAUAUUUUUAUUUUUGUGAAAAUAUGUGACAGCCGUUGA
RNAcentral lists this small RNA (199 nucleotides) under Arabidopsis thaliana (thale cress). RNAcentral's name for it is "ATSL180650". The record is from RNAcentral. Lineage: Eukaryota; Viridiplantae; Streptophyta; Magnoliopsida; Brassicales; Brassicaceae.